UCGCGUCGUCUGUGAAAUUCCGGGGCUUAACUCCGGGCGUGCAGGCGAUACGGGCAUAACUUGAGUACUGUAGGGGUAACUGGAAUUCCUGGUGUAGCGGUGAAAUGCGCAGAUAUCAGGAGGAACACCGAUGGCGAAGGCAGGUUACUGGGCAGUUACUGACGCUGAGGAGCGAAAGCAUGGGUAGCGAACAGGAUUAGAUACCCUGGUAGUCCAUGCCGUAAACGGUGGGCGCUAGGUGUGAGGGUCUUUUCACGACUUUCGUGCCGUAGCUAACGCAUUAAGCGCCCCGCCUGGGGAGUACGGCCGCAAGGCUAAAACUCAAAGGAAUUGACGGGGGCCCGCACAAGCGGCGGAGCAUGUGGAUUAAUUCGAUGCAACGCGAAGAACCUUACCUGGGCUUGACAUACACUGGAUCGGGCUAGAGAUAGUCUUUCCCUUUGUGGCUGGUGUACAGGUGGUGCAUGGUUGUCGUCAGCUCGUGUCGUGAGAUGUUGGGUUAAGUCCCGCAACGAGCGCAACCCUUGUCUUAUGUUGCCAGCAUUUGGUUGGGGACUCAUGAGAGACUGCCGGGGUCAACUCGGAGGAAGGUGGGGAUGACGUCAAAUCAUCAUGCCCCUUAUGUCCAGGGCUUCACACAUGCUACAAUGGUCGGUACAACGCGCAGCGACACUGUGAGGUGGAGCGAAUCGCUGAAAGCCGGCCUUAGUUCGGAUUGGGGUCUGCAACUCGGCCCCAUGAAGUCGGAGUCGCUAGUAAU
This 760-nucleotide ribosomal RNA is filed under the name uncultured bacterium. RNAcentral's name for it is "bacterial SSU rRNA". It matches the Rfam family "Bacterial small subunit ribosomal RNA", at positions 583 to 1342 of the family's 1533-position model. The record is from RNAcentral.